ACGGAAGGCAGCAGUAGGGAAUCUUCCACAAUGGACGAAAGUCUGAUGGAGCAACGCCGCGUGAGUGAUGAAGGUUUUCGGAUCGUAAAACUCUGUUGUAAGGGAAGAACAAGUGCGUUAGGUAAUGAACGCGCCUUGACGGUACCUUACCAGAAAGCCACGGCUAACUACGUGCCAGCAGCCGCGGUAAUACGUAGGUGGCAAGCGUUGUCCGGAUUUAUUGGGCGUAAAGCGCGCGCAGGUGGUUUCUUAAGUCUGAUGUGAAAGCCCCCGGCUCAACCGGGGAGGGUCAUUGGAAACUGGGAGACUUGAGUGCAGAAGAGGAUAGUGGAAUUCCAAGUGUAGCGGUGAAAUGCGUAGAGAUUUGGAAGAACACCAGUGGCGAAGGCGACUUUCUGGUCUGUAACUGACACUGAGGCGCGAAAGCGUGGGGAGCAAACAGGAUUAGAUACCCUGGUA
RNAcentral lists this ribosomal RNA (459 nucleotides) under uncultured Kurthia sp. RNAcentral's name for it is "partial 16S ribosomal RNA". It matches the Rfam family "Bacterial small subunit ribosomal RNA", at positions 341 to 792 of the family's 1533-position model. The record is from RNAcentral. Lineage: Bacteria; Bacillati; Bacillota; Bacilli; Caryophanales; Caryophanaceae.